RNAcentral lists this ribosomal RNA (492 nucleotides) under uncultured bacterium. Its description in RNAcentral is "partial 16S ribosomal RNA". It matches the Rfam family "Bacterial small subunit ribosomal RNA", at positions 29 to 507 of the family's 1533-position model. The record is from RNAcentral.
AGUGAACGCUGGCGGUAGGCCUAACACAUGCAAGUCGAACGGCAGCACAGUAAGAGCUUGCUCUUACGGGUGGCGAGUGGCGGACGGGUGAGGAAUACAUCGGAAUCUACUUUUUCGUGGGGGAUAACGUAGGGAAACAUACGCUAAUACCGCAUACGACCUACGGGUGAAAGCAGGGGAUCUUCGGACCUUGCGCGAUUGAAUGAGCCGAUGUCGGAUUAGCUAGUUGGCGGGGUAAAGGCCCACCAAGGCGACGAUCCGUAGCUGGUCUGAGAGGAUGAUCAGCCACACUGGAACUGAGACACGGUCCAGACUCCUACGGGAGGCAGCAGUGGGGAAUAUUGGACAAUGGGCGCAAGCCUGAUCCAGCCAUACCGCGUGGGUGAAGAAGGCCUUCGGGUUGUAAAGCCCUUUUGUUGGGAAAGAAAAGCAGCAGGUUAAUACCCCGAUGUUCUGACGGUACCCAAAGAAUAAGCAACGGCUAACUUCGUG